AUGCACCCCGUGGCCCCAAACCCAGCCUGGCCAGGGGGUGAGGGCAGUGCCCUAGCCACCGUCCCCUUUGGGCUGGGGACCUCAGCCUCAUCCCCACGGCUCUGCUCUGCCAGGGCUCAUAGCUCUGCUCUCCAGUUCCCUCCUGAGCCUGCUCCCAGUUUGGGAACUGGGGACAGCUCCCACAGGACAGCGGACGCGGUGCUGGGGCACGUGCUGCCCUGCUCCCAGCAGCCGGCUCCGACUCCGUGCCUCCGCGAUGCCCAGAGCUUCGCUGGGUGCCAGAGCCCCUUCGGGCUGCGUUUCCCGGGGCCGAGGGGGUCUCACCACCCUGCUCCCCCUUCCCAAACUGCUCAGGGGAAGCCUCCUGCCUCCUGUCGUGCUCUGCUCCCGGCCAGGCAGGAUCCAGCCAGCCCCCCGCGUGUCCCAGCCCUGCCGCCUCCAUCCCGGCAGACAAAGCCCGACCAGACAAAGCCGCAGCCCCGGCCCCUGGGCAGCUUCCCCGCCUGCACGGCCAGGGGACGACAAAUCCUACAACCAUCCCCCGGCACCCGGGGCCCCUCGCCUGCCUCCGUAGGCACCGGGAGGCACACGGUGCAGGCAGCGCCGCGGCACGGGCGGCGAGGCCGCGGGCAGCCCGCACGGCACCCCAGCCCCUCACGCAUGCACCGAGCAGUCUUUAAAAUGAAGGCAAAUACCUUUUUCCUCGCCAGCUUCACCGUCCAACACCUGUCCUGCCCCGGCCACGCGGCGCCUCCGCCGUUCUGCCCGUCCUCCAUGCACCGCCACCCGCGCCGGGACGGGCUUCAGACCCUCCUCUCCCCUCCGGCGGGUUUCGGCCCCACGCUGCCUGCUGGCAUUUUGGCAGCUUCGCCGCUCCAGCGAUGGCAUGUGUCCAUUUUUUUUUUUUUUUUUUUUUCCUUUCCUCCUCGCUCCCUUUCACAAUCCAUCCCCAGCCUCUGCGCCGCUGCCUCCGGAGCCGCCUGCGGUGCCAGCUCGCAGGGAAAUUGGCAGCGAGCGCGGCGCAGGGACGUUCCCGCAGCUGAGCGGAGCCCCUCUGCCAUCACCCGCCCUGGCACGGGGCCGGGGCGGCGGGGGGCUGCUGCCGCUCGCCAGCCCUCCCCAGCACCGCUGCCAAAAGCCAAACGAGGGGGGGAUGAAAAGGGAAAAAAAAAAAAAAGGCAAAGAAAGGAUCUGGCGGCGCCGCCAUCACCGGCCAUGGGGGACCCGCUGGCGACCCUUCCUUUUGCCACGUCCUCGUCGCUUGGUGGAGAGUGCGGGGGCCCUGCUGCGGCCCUGCUGCCCCUCGUGGGGAGGCUGGGCCCCGUCUGUCCCCGUGUCCCCACCCGCAUCCCCAUCCCGUGCGGGCGAGCCCUUCCCGAGGAGCGGGAGGCGACGCCGGCAGCCCCGGCGCGGCGAUGCUGCGUGGCGAGCACGGCUCCCGCAGACACACCUCUUACCCAGCAUCCGCCUGCCGAGAGAGGGGGGCCCGGGAAAUUGGGAAGGGGAGAGCGGAGGAGGGACUCGGCGCCGAGGGGUGGGUAG
This 1542-nucleotide long non-coding RNA is filed under the name Anas platyrhynchos platyrhynchos (common mallard). RNAcentral describes it as "lncRNA (ENSAPLG00000017498.1)". Lineage: Eukaryota; Metazoa; Chordata; Aves; Anseriformes; Anatidae. The record is from RNAcentral.